RNAcentral lists this ribosomal RNA (465 nucleotides) under uncultured bacterium. RNAcentral's name for it is "partial 16S ribosomal RNA". It matches the Rfam family "Bacterial small subunit ribosomal RNA", at positions 338 to 795 of the family's 1533-position model. The record is from RNAcentral.
CCUACGGGAGGCAGCAGUAGGGAAUCUUCCACAAUGGGCGAAAGCCUGAUGGAGCAACGCCGCGUGGGUGAAGAAGGUCUUCGGAUUGUUAAACCCUGUUGUUAGAGAAGAAAGUGCGUGAGAGUAACUGUUCACGUUUCGACGGUAUCUAACCAGAAAGCCACGGCUAACUACGUGCCAGCAGCCGCGGUAAUACGUAGGUGGCAAGCGUUAUUCGGAUUUAUUGGGCGUAAAGGGAACGCAGGCGGUCUUUUAAGUCUGAUGUGAAAGCCUUCGGCUUAACCGGAGUAGUGCAUUGGAAACUGGGAGACUUGAGUGGAGAAGAGGGGAGUGGAACUCGAUGUGUAGCGGUGAAAUGCGUAGAUAUAUGGAAGAACACCAGUGGCGAAGGCGGCUCUCUGGUCUGUAACUGACGCUGAGGUUCGAAAGCGUGGGUAGCAAACAGGAUUAGAUACCCCUGUAGUC